Molecule: non-coding RNA, 135 nt
Organism: Triticum aestivum (bread wheat)
Lineage: Eukaryota; Viridiplantae; Streptophyta; Magnoliopsida; Poales; Poaceae
Source: Rfam
CUAGUACUCCCUCCAUCCCAAAAUUCUUGUCUUAGAUUUGUCUAGAUACGGAUGUACCUAAUACUAAAACUUGACUUGAUACAUCCGUAUUUAGACAAAUCUAAGACAAGAAUUUUGGAACGGAGGGAGUACCUU